Molecule: long non-coding RNA, 1085 nt
Organism: Dendroctonus ponderosae (mountain pine beetle)
Lineage: Eukaryota; Metazoa; Arthropoda; Insecta; Coleoptera; Curculionidae
Exons: 2
Source: RefSeq, a predicted model, not a curated record
AUGCUUGGAUAAUUCCAGCCAGAUUUCCUCUCAAAUAAUUUCGUAUUCAUCGAGAAAGCUGCUUAAUCGUAUCAAUUUCCACAUAUGCAGCAGCUAAUAAAAUGUUCGUGCUUUCAGUAUCCGGAUUUCAAACUUUAUUCGUCCUGAUAGUUAAAUUAUAACAGAUGUUGCGAAAUGGAGCACACGUUGUGCGUAUAUGGAUAAUCCCAGACGGUUUGGCGCCAGUUAUCGUUGCUGAUAAUUCAAUGUUUGCUGGUUUCAUUAGAGAGCUACUGUAGGCAAGACUCGGUUUUCAAACGUAGAAAUAUAAUUGCUUAAUUUUGGUUGAUGUUGCAUGUUGUUGAUGAUGCUUAAUGGUUAAUUUUGGCUUGUUGUUUAACUAGGUGUGAUUUGAUCUGAUGUUUUUUGUUCCAAAUUAUGUCAGCAGUAUUGAUACCAAUAUCUGUAUUUCAAAUUGUAUGUAAAACAGUCAACAGGAGAAAAUUCUAAAGAUUAAACCACGAGUAUUUGAGCAGACUUGUUAAGGCUUUUCAUGUUCGGAGUAGGCUUCACAUGAUACUGGAUAAUAUUUUACAAAAUGCCAAACAAUCCUUUACAGUUCCAUUUAGCCAUCAGCGGCGGUGCCCCAACGCAUGACCCCUUGAAAUAUCGACGGACACUUCUUUAAUUUUUUUGCUGUGGAGAUUGGUGGUCAAGAAAAGUCAAACUGACGGUCGUAUAAACUGCAAUUCCGGAUAUUCCAUGAUUUUAUCUUUCGCAUGAAGGCAUGAGCCGCGUCCCGCCGCGAAACCGGCCAUAUCGGGUAUCAGAUUGGCAUUUCGUGAGCGCACAGUCUCAUAUAACAAGUAAAUAUAAAUAAAAUAAAAAAAAACGGUGUCAGAAGGGCAUCAAUGCAAACGGCGUGCAUUCAAAGCCCGUUUUUUACGCAACAUAAAGGCAAUGCCUCGGCUGUUUGGCUUGCCAUACAAGAUGAGAUUCAGUUCAAUCGGGAUGCCAGACUGACAGAGACUAAUCGGCGUUAACUUGCGAAGCAAGAUGUUUAAACAUAGCAAACUCUAUACUGUAAUAAAUAUUAUUUUAAUAAA